Molecule: ribosomal RNA, 948 nt
Filed under: Dialister invisus
Lineage: Bacteria; Bacillati; Bacillota; Negativicutes; Veillonellales; Veillonellaceae
Description: bacterial SSU rRNA
Rfam family: Bacterial small subunit ribosomal RNA
Source: RNAcentral
GACGAACGCUGGCGGCGUGCUUAACACAUGCAAGUCGAACGAAAAGAGGGAAAGAGCUUGCUCUUUCCGGAAUUGAGUGGCAAACGGGUGAGUAACACGUAAACAACCUGCCUUCAGGAUGGGGACAACAGACGGAAACGACUGCUAAUACCGAAUAAGUUCCAAGAGCCGCAUGGCCCAUGGAAGAAAAGGUGGCCUCUACCUGUAAGCUAUCGCCUGAAGAGGGGUUUGCGUCUGAUUAGCUGGUUGGAGGGGUAACGGCCCACCAAGGCGACGAUCAGUAGCCGGUUGAGAGGAUGAACGGCCACACUGGAACUGAGACACGGUCCGGACUCCUACGGGAGGCAGCAGUGGGGAAUCUUCCGCAAUGGGCGAAAGCCUGACGGAGCAACGCCGCGUGAGUGAUGACGGCCUUCGGGUUGUAAAACUCUGUGAUCCGGGACGAAAAGGCAGAGUGCGAAGAACAAACUGCAUUGACGUACCGGAAAAGCAAGCCACGGCUAACUACGUGCCAGCAGCCGCGGUAAUACGUAGGUGGCAAGCGUUGUCCGGAAUUAUUGGGCGUAAAGCGCGCGCAGGCGGCUUCCCAAGUCCCUCUUAAAAGUGCGGGGCUUAACCCCGUGAUGGGAAGGAAACUGGGAAGCUGGAGUAUCGGAGAGGAAAGUGGAAUUCCUAGUGUAGCGGUGAAAUGCGUAGAGAUUAGGAAGAACACCGGUGGCGAAGGCGACUUUCUGGACGAAAACUGACGCUGAGGCGCGAAAGCGUGGGGAGCAAACAGGAUUAGAUACCCUGGUAGUCCACGCCGUAAACGAUGGAUACUAGGUGUAGGAGGUAUCGACCCCUCCUGUGCCGGAGUUAACGCAAUAAGUAUCCCGCCUGGGAAGUACGAUCGCAAGAUUAAAACUCACAGGAAUUGACGGGGGCCCGCACAAGCGGUGGAGUAUGUGG